This 335-nucleotide ribosomal RNA is filed under the name Streptococcus thermophilus. RNAcentral describes it as "bacterial SSU rRNA". It matches the Rfam family "Bacterial small subunit ribosomal RNA", at positions 179 to 503 of the family's 1533-position model. Lineage: Bacteria; Bacillati; Bacillota; Bacilli; Lactobacillales; Streptococcaceae. The record is from RNAcentral.
AUGGGUGACACAUGUCAUUUAUUUGAAAGGGGCCAUUGCUCCACUACAAGAUGGACCUGCGUUGUAUUAGCUAGUAGGUGAGGUAAUGGCUCACCUAGGCGACGAUACAUAGCCGACCUGAGAGGGUGAUCGGCCACACUGGGACUGAGACACGGCCCAGACUCCUACGGGAGGAGCAGUAGGGAAUCUUCGGCAAUGGGGGCAACCCUGACCGAGCAACCCGCUUGAGUAAAGAAGGUUUUCGGAUCGUAAAGCUCUGUUGUAAGUCAAGAACCGGUGUGAGAGUGGAAAGGUCACACUGUGACGGUCGCUUACCAGAAAGGGACGGCUAAAUA